UUAGACCUCAUUUAAGGGCUGACUGCCACUAGGGAAGGAUUUCUUUCUGGAGAUCGCUUCUCUGUGUAGUUUUUUCUGCAAGUCUAGAUCUUUGGAUAAAGUCUUGGAGGCAGAGCCUACCAGUGAUCUAGGUGCUGUGAUCCCUUGGCUCCUGAGAAGAUCUCAGCAUUUCAUAGAAUCACAGAAUUCAUGAGAUGUCUCCAUAAAGGAGGAUGAAAGACUGGAACUCCACCAAAGCUCAGGAGGUACCUGUUUCUGCAAGCCCUGGACAUUCCUCAUUCACAGUGGCAGCAAAAUUGAUAUCCAGCUGCUUCAUCAUCUUGUCUGCAGAUGUGUGAUAGACUCCUGAAGGACCAGUACACUUCAUCCAGAAAGCCAGCAGUGACAGCUUCUUGUGAAACUCUGGGAUUGCUGAAGGAGAACACAAAAUGAAUGAUGAAACAAAGUUGUGCUCAGUGCACUGUCUUCCUAAAUGGAAAUGUGAUAUGUGUGGAGGACAUCCACUCCAUCUCACUAAUGGAAGGAAGAUGUGAGGAAAAUCUUCUCCUGAUCCAGUUCUGGACACUGUCUCAUCUUUUUUAAAUACUAUGAAUUACUAGGGAAAAUAAAUGGUCUGCAUGAGACUGGUCCUUGUCUGCAUGAGACUGCUCCGUAGCCUUGGGGGAACUGGACUAGAUGGCCCUUAGAGAUCCCUUCUAACUCUAAGGAUUCUAUGAAUAAGGUCCCUGACCAGCUUCAGUGACUGCUACAUCUGUUUGUGAGUUGUCUCCUGCUAUGGUGCACUCCCUGCAGUUAAGGUGGUUAUUUCAGCAGGCCUCCUGCCCAAACCAGCCCUCUUCAGAAGGAAGACCCCCUAAUGUGUCUCUUACCAUCAGUAAGGGAGGUGAUGCUUCCCAAGUUCUCAGUGCUGAUCUCUGCAAUAUUCUCCAUUACAAGAGUCUGCCUGGACAGCUUAUCAAGGAGGUCUCUUGUCACAAAUGGUGUUUUACCGGAGAAGACAAUUUGCUAAUGGAAACAAGAUGGAAAGGAAGAAGUCAUUUUGAAGCCUCAAAAAAAAAAAAA
Non-coding RNA from Meleagris gallopavo (turkey), 1062 nucleotides. NCBI's taxonomy places the organism in Eukaryota, Metazoa, Chordata, Aves, Galliformes, Phasianidae. The record is from RefSeq and is a predicted model, not a curated record.